CCAAAUUUCUCCCAGUUUUCAUCAAUUUUCGCCCUUUUCCCCCCAGGUGUCCCUAAACCCUAAAAUUUCCCCAAUUUUCUCUCAAUUUUCACAAAUUUUCCACCAAAUUUUCUCCAAAAUUUCUCCAGUUUUCUCUCAAUUUUCCCCCAAUUUUCUCCAAUUUUCUCCCAAUUUGCACCAAUUUCCUCCCAAUUUUCCCCCAUUUUUUUUCCAAUUUUCUCCCUAUUUCCACCAAAUUAAUUUCCACCAAUUUCCCCCCAAUUUCCUCCCCAAUUUUUCCCAAAUUUCUCCCUAUUUUCAUCAAAUUUCUCCCAUUUUUUUCCAAUUUUCCCCCAAUUUUCCCAAAUUUCUCUCAAUUUUCCCCAAUUUCCCUCCAAUUUUCACCAAUUUUCCCCAAUUUCUCCCAAUUUUCUCCCUUUUUGCCCCAUUUCUACCCAGGUUUCCCUAAACCCCCAAUUUUCACCAAUUUUCUCCAAAUUUCUCCCAAUUUUCACAAUUUUUUUCCCAAUUUUAUCCCAAUUUUCAGCAAUUUCCAUCAAUUUUCCACCCAAUUUUCACAAAUUUUCACCAAUUUUCUCCCAAUUUUAACCCAUUUUUGCCCCAUCAUCAAUUUUCUCCCAAAUUCCUCCCAACUUUCACCAAUUUUCCCCAAUUUCCUCCAAAUUUCCACCAAUUUUUACAAAUUUUCUCCCAAUUUUGGUCCCAAUUUUCUCCCAAUUUUUCCCAAUUUUCCCCAAAUUCUCCCCAAUUUUCUCCAAAUUUUCACCAAAUUUCCAUCAAUUUUCCCCAAUUUUUCCCAAAUCUCUCCCAAUUUUCACUCAAUUUCCACCAAUUUUCUCGAAUUUUCUCCAAAUUUCCACCAAUUUUCAUCAAUUUUCUCCCAAUUUUCUUUCAUUUUCCACCAAUUCCCUUCCAAUUUUCCCCCAAUUUUGGCCCCAAUUUCCAUCAAAUUUCGCCCAUUUUUUUUUCCAAAUUUCCCCCAAUUUCCACCAAUUU
This 996-nucleotide long non-coding RNA is filed under the name Junco hyemalis (dark-eyed junco). RNAcentral describes it as "lncRNA (ENSJHYG00000012943.1)". Lineage: Eukaryota; Metazoa; Chordata; Aves; Passeriformes; Passerellidae. The record is from RNAcentral.